CACUCCUGCGGGAGGCAGCAGUGGGGAAUAUUGCACAAUGGGCGCAAGCCUGAUGCAGCCAUGCCGCGUGUAUGAAGAAGGCCUUCGGGUUGUAAAGUACUUUCAGCGGGGAGGAAGGCGAUAAGGUUAAUAACCUUGUCGAUUGACGUUACCCGCAGAAGAAGCACCGGCUAACUCCGUGCCAGCAGCCGCGGUAAUACGGAGGGUGCAAGCGUUAAUCGGAAUUACUGGGCGUAAAGCGCACGCAGGCGGUCUGUCAAGUCGGAUGUGAAAUCCCCGGGCUCAACCUGGGAACUGCAUUCGAAACUGGCAGGCUAGAGUCUUGUAGAGGGGGGUAGAAUUCCAGGUGUAGCGGUGAAAUGCGUAGAGAUCUGGAGGAAUACCGGUGGCGAAGGCGGCCCCCUGGACAAAGACUGACGCUCAGGUGCGAAAGCGUGGGGAGCAAACAGGAUUAGAAACCCCGGUAGUCCCAUGAU
RNAcentral lists this ribosomal RNA (476 nucleotides) under uncultured organism. Its description in RNAcentral is "partial 16S ribosomal RNA". It matches the Rfam family "Bacterial small subunit ribosomal RNA", at positions 334 to 801 of the family's 1533-position model. The record is from RNAcentral.